Molecule: ribosomal RNA, 575 nt
Filed under: Talaromyces aerugineus
Lineage: Eukaryota; Fungi; Ascomycota; Eurotiomycetes; Eurotiales; Trichocomaceae
Description: eukaryotic LSU rRNA
Rfam family: 5.8S ribosomal RNA (bases 202-355)
Source: RNAcentral
GGUGACUGCGGAGGAUCAUUACCGAGUACGGGCCCUCUGUGGCCCCAUCUCCCACCCGUGUCGUUGAUAACCUGUUGCUUGGGCGGGCCCACCAGGUUCUCCCUGGUCGCCGGGGGGCAUCGCCCCCGGGCCCGCGCCCGCCGAAGCACCCUAGGAACUCUGAUGAAGAUAGGCUGUCUGAGUCUGACGAAAAAUUGUCAAAACUUUCAACAAUGGAUCUCUUGGUUCCGGCAUCGAUGAAGAACGCAGCGAAAUGCGAUAAGUAAUGUGAAUUGCAGAAUUCCGUGAAUCAUCGAAUCUUUGAACGCACAUUGCGCCCCCUGGCAUUCCGGGGGGCAUGCCUGUCCGAGCGUCAUUUCUGCCCUCAAGCGCGGCUUGUGUGUUGGGCGUGGUCCCCCCGGGGACCUGCCCGAAAGGCAGCGGCGACGUCCGUCGGGUCCUCGAGCGUAUGGGGCUUUGUCACUCGCUCGGGAGGGACCUGCGGGGGUUGGUCACCACUGAAUUGUUUCCAUGGUUGACCUCGGAUCAGGUAGGAGUUACCCGCUGAACUUAAGCAUAUCAAUAAGCGGAGGAAC